Molecule: long non-coding RNA, 364 nt
Filed under: Cricetulus griseus (Chinese hamster)
Lineage: Eukaryota; Metazoa; Chordata; Mammalia; Rodentia; Cricetidae
Description: lncRNA (ENSCGRG00015042740.1)
Source: RNAcentral
UCUCGGCCACGUUGGAGCCCUUCAGGCCGGAGAGAAAAGCUCGUUUGUUCCCGAACUUAGCAGUAAGAACCUAUUGCUGAAGACACCACAUACUUGAAAAUCAAUCUGGUGCUGAUGAAGCUUUAUGCCUGCUGGCCAGCUUUGAUAGUGCUGAGAGACUGAGACUGUGUAACCCAGGAUGUCAGAUGGCCUUAACUCCUGAUUCCCUGCUUCACUUCUGAAAUACUGGAAUUAUAGUGUUGGAGAUUAAAUAUGAGGCAAGUUUCACCACUGAGCUUCGGCUCCUCCAACUACCAGAUUUUUCCGCAGAGACAGAAGUUUCACAGGAUCAUAAGCAAGCCAACAUUAGAUUUGGAAAGAAAGG